This 85-nucleotide transfer RNA is filed under the name Felis catus (domestic cat). It matches the Rfam family "tRNA". From Rfam's summary of the family: Transfer RNA (tRNA) molecules are approximately 80 nucleotides in length. Their secondary structure includes four short double-helical elements and three loops (D, anti-codon, and T loops). The record is from Rfam by way of RNAcentral. Lineage: Eukaryota; Metazoa; Chordata; Mammalia; Carnivora; Felidae.
GCCUGGGUGGCUCAGUCAGUUGAGCAUGUGACUUUGGCUCAGAUCAUGAUCUCACAGUUCGUGGGUUCGAGCCCCUCAUUGGGCU